Molecule: transfer-messenger RNA, 196 nt
Filed under: Moraxellaceae bacterium
Lineage: Bacteria; Pseudomonadati; Pseudomonadota; Gammaproteobacteria; Moraxellales; Moraxellaceae
Description: partial transfer-messenger RNA
Rfam family: transfer-messenger RNA
About the family: Bacterial tmRNA, also known as 10Sa RNA or SsrA, is named for its dual tRNA and mRNA-like properties. Its role is to liberate the mRNA from a stalled ribosome. To accomplish this part of the tmRNA is used as a reading frame that ends in a translation stop signal.
Source: RNAcentral
GGGGGUGACAUGGCUUCGACGCCGGUUAUGAAUCCCGAAGGGGCAUGCGGAGAGGGUGACAUCUCUCGUUAAUCAAAGUCACAAGCAACAUAGUCGCAAACGACGAAAACUACGCACUGGCAGCCUAAUACCCUGCCUACGACCGAACCUGCCUGCCCAUGGGCGGGGGACGUCGGCGCAAAAAACAUGGGAUCGC